RNAcentral lists this transfer RNA (65 nucleotides) under Sharpea azabuensis. It matches the Rfam family "tRNA", at positions 6 to 65 of the family's 71-position model. From Rfam's summary of the family: Transfer RNA (tRNA) molecules are approximately 80 nucleotides in length. Their secondary structure includes four short double-helical elements and three loops (D, anti-codon, and T loops). Further hydrogen bonds mediate the characteristic L-shaped molecular structure. tRNAs have two regions of fundamental functional importance: the anti-codon, which is responsible for specific mRNA codon recognition, and the 3' end, to which the tRNAs corresponding amino acid is attached (by aminoacyl-tRNA synthetases). tRNAs cope with the degeneracy of the genetic code in two manners: having more than one tRNA (with a specific anti-codon) for a particular amino acid; and 'wobble' base-pairing, i.e. permitting non-standard base-pairing at the 3rd anti-codon position. Lineage: Bacteria; Bacillati; Bacillota; Erysipelotrichia; Erysipelotrichales; Coprobacillaceae. The record is from RNAcentral.
AGGGUAGUUUAGUGGUUAAAACGUCAGCCUUGAAAACUGGAGAUCGUUGGUUCGAAUCCAACUCU